This 541-nucleotide ribosomal RNA is filed under the name uncultured bacterium. RNAcentral's name for it is "bacterial SSU rRNA". It matches the Rfam family "Bacterial small subunit ribosomal RNA", at positions 28 to 525 of the family's 1533-position model. The record is from RNAcentral.
GACGAACGCUGGCGGCGUGCCUAAUACAUGCAAGUCGAACGCGUCUACGUUAAUGAAAUCAAUGUGCUUGCACGGCGAUGGAUUUAACAUUAGACGAGUGGCGAACUGGUGAGUAACACGUGGGUAACCUGCCCUCAAGCAGGGGAUAACACUUGGAAACAGGUGCUAAUACCGCAUAAAUCUUGGAACCUCAUGGUUCCAAGCUGAAAGAUGGCGUAAGCUAUCGCUUUUGGAUGGACCCGCGGCGUAUUAGCUAGUUGGUGAGGUAAAGGCUCACCAAGGCGAUGAUACGUAGCCGACCUGAGAGGGUGAUCGGCCACAUUGGGACUGAGACACGGCCCAAACUCCUACGGGAGGCAGCAGUAGGGAAUCUUCCACAAUGGACGAAAGUCUGAUGGAGCAACGCCGCGUGAGUGAAGAAGGGUUUCGGCUCGUAAAACUCUGUUGUUAAAGAAGAACAGGUGUAAGAGUAACUGUUUACACCGUGACGGUAUUUAACCAGAAAGCCACGGCUAACUACGUGCCAGCAGCCGCAGUAAAA